GAUGAAGAACGUAGCGAAAUGCGAUAAGUAGUGUGAAUUGCAGAAUUCAGUGAAUCAUCGAAUCUUUGAACGCACAUUGCGCCCCUUGGUAUUCCAUGGGGCAUGCCUGUUCGAGCGUCAUUUGUACCUUCAAGCUCUGCUUGGUGUUGGGUGUUUGUCUCGCCUCUGCGUGUAGACUCGCCUUAAAACAAUUGGCAGCCGGCGUAUUGAUUUCGGAGCGCAGUACAUCUCGCGCUUUGCACUCAUAACGACGACGUCCAAAAGUACAUUUUUACACUCUUGACCUCGGAUCAGGUAGGGAUACCCGCUGAACUUAAGCAUAUCAAUAAGCAGAGGA
Molecule: unclassified non-coding RNA, 337 nt
Filed under: soil metagenome
Description: partial contains 5.8S ribosomal RNA, internal transcribed spacer 2, and large subunit ribosomal RNA
Rfam family: 5.8S ribosomal RNA (bases 1-120)
Source: RNAcentral